Long non-coding RNA from Sinocyclocheilus anshuiensis, 439 nucleotides. RefSeq lists it as uncharacterized. Lineage: Eukaryota; Metazoa; Chordata; Actinopteri; Cypriniformes; Cyprinidae. The transcript has 4 exons. The record is from RefSeq and is a predicted model, not a curated record.
GUGUUUUUUUCAAAAGCAAAGGAUGAAAAGAAGGUCACAUAAGAUGGACUCAUCCAAAGGAUACAACCCUGACAAUAUGGAUCUGCUGACAUUAUUCAUAGUCAACCAGAUUGCAUCAAAGAAAGAGCAAACAGACAAACCAAAAACAAACCGUUUGACUGGUGUGAAAAGAACCAAAAAAAACUUUGAAAGAACCCUUAGAGAUACCAAUGAGCCCUUGCGCUCUUUCAAACCUGAACCUAGUUACCAGUCAGCCACAGUACAGUAUUGAAACGCCUGGUUAUAAAGUCAGAAAACAUUGUCUUUCUGAAGAAUUCAUGUUCAAGCCACUGUCUCCUGUGCUUGAAUCAAACCUGUCUGAUGUCAGUGGCUCAGAAAAUCAACCGCAACCAUCCUCAACAUCUGCUGGCUCCUCAGAUCCAAUCCAACCCAAACCCAC